This is a non-coding RNA of Caenorhabditis elegans, 21 nucleotides long. The record is from Ensembl. Lineage: Eukaryota; Metazoa; Nematoda; Chromadorea; Rhabditida; Rhabditidae.
AUAGACUGAUCUGACUGUAAG